RNAcentral lists this ribosomal RNA (460 nucleotides) under uncultured bacterium. RNAcentral describes it as "partial 16S ribosomal RNA". It matches the Rfam family "Bacterial small subunit ribosomal RNA", at positions 338 to 795 of the family's 1533-position model. The record is from RNAcentral.
CCUACGGGCGGCAGCAGUGAGGAAUAUUGGUCAAUGGACGCAAGUCUGAACCAGCCAUGCCGCGUGCAGGAAGACGGCUCUAUGAGUUGUAAACUGCUUUUGUACGAGGGUAAACGCAGAUACGCGUAUCUGUCUGAAAGUAUCGUACGAAUAAGGAUCGGCUAACUCCGUGCCAGCAGCCGCGGUAAUACGGAGGAUUCAAGCGUUAUCCGGAUUUAUUGGGUUUAAAGGGUGCGUAGGCGGUCGGAUAAGUUAGAGGUGAAAUCCCGAGGCUCAACUUCGGAAUUGCCUCUGAUACUGUUAGGCUAGAGAGUAGUUGCGGUGGGCGGAAUGUAUGGUGUAGCGGUGAAAUGCUUAGAGAUCAUACAGAACACCGGUUGCGAAGGCAGCUUACCAAGCUACGUCUGACGUUGAGGCACGAAAGCGUGGGGAGCAAACAGGAUUAGAUACCCUGGUAGUC